GGGGAUUUAGCUCAGCGGUAGAGCGCUUGCCUAGCAAGCGCAAGGCCCUGGAUUCAGUCCCCA
This 63-nucleotide transfer RNA is filed under the name Rattus norvegicus (Norway rat). It matches the Rfam family "tRNA". Rfam says of the family: Transfer RNA (tRNA) molecules are approximately 80 nucleotides in length. Their secondary structure includes four short double-helical elements and three loops (D, anti-codon, and T loops). Further hydrogen bonds mediate the characteristic L-shaped molecular structure. tRNAs have two regions of fundamental functional importance: the anti-codon, which is responsible for specific mRNA codon recognition, and the 3' end, to which the tRNAs corresponding amino acid is attached (by aminoacyl-tRNA synthetases). tRNAs cope with the degeneracy of the genetic code in two manners: having more than one tRNA (with a specific anti-codon) for a particular amino acid; and 'wobble' base-pairing, i.e. permitting non-standard base-pairing at the 3rd anti-codon position. Lineage: Eukaryota; Metazoa; Chordata; Mammalia; Rodentia; Muridae. The record is from Rfam by way of RNAcentral.